GUGAGUAUAAUUUAACUUAAAAUGUUAGAUUGUGAUUCUAAAAAUAGAGGUUAAAAUCCUCUUACCCACC
Molecule: transfer RNA, 70 nt
Filed under: Yasuhikotakia morleti (skunk botia)
Lineage: Eukaryota; Metazoa; Chordata; Actinopteri; Cypriniformes; Botiidae
Description: tRNA-His
Rfam family: tRNA
About the family: Transfer RNA (tRNA) molecules are approximately 80 nucleotides in length.
Source: RNAcentral